UGAGGAACAUGACCUUCGGCGGGGGAUAGCCGGCCCAACGGCCGGGUAAUACCGCGUACGACCACAUGGGGACAUCCCUGAGUGGUGAAAGCAGCAAUGCGCCGAUGGAGUGCCUCGCGGCCUAUCAGCUAGUUGGUGAGGUAACGGCUCACCAAGGCGACGACGGGUAGCUGGUCUGAGAGGAUGGCCAGCCACAUUGGGACUGAGACACCGGCCCAGACCUCUACCGGGGAGG
RNAcentral lists this ribosomal RNA (235 nucleotides) under uncultured bacterium. Its description in RNAcentral is "partial 16S ribosomal RNA". It matches the Rfam family "Bacterial small subunit ribosomal RNA", at positions 118 to 347 of the family's 1533-position model. The record is from RNAcentral.